UAGGGAAUCUUCCGCAAUGGGCGAAAGCCUGACGGAGCAACGCCGCGUGAGUGAUGAAGGUCUUCGGAUCGUAAAACUCUGUUAUUAGGGAAGAACAAAUGUGUAAGUAACUAUGCACGUCUUGACGGUACCUAAUCAGAAAGCCACGGCUAACUACGUGCCAGCAGCCGCGGUAAUACGUAGGUGGCAAGCGUUAUCCGGAAUUAUUGGGCGUAAAGCGCGCGUAGGCGGUUUUUUAAGUCUGAUGUGAAAGCCAACGGCUCAACCGUGGAGGGUCAUGGGAAACUGGAAAACUUGAGUGCAGAAGAGGAAAGUGGAAUUCCAUGUGUAGCGGUGAAAUGCGCAGAGAUAUGGAGGAACACCAGUGGCGAAGGCGGCUUUCUGGUCUGUAACUGACGCUGAUGUGCGAAAGCGUGGGGAUCAAACAGG
This 429-nucleotide ribosomal RNA is filed under the name Actinomycetes bacterium. Its description in RNAcentral is "Actinobacteria bacterium partial 16S ribosomal RNA". It matches the Rfam family "Bacterial small subunit ribosomal RNA", at positions 355 to 776 of the family's 1533-position model. The record is from RNAcentral. Lineage: Bacteria; Bacillati; Actinomycetota; Actinomycetes.